GAGUUUGAUCCUGGUUCAGGAUGAACGCUAGCGGCAGGCUUAACACAUGCAAGUCGAGGGGCAGCAUGUCCAGCAAUGGAUGAUGGCGACCGGCGGAAGGGUGCGUAACGCGUGAGCAACAUGCCCUAUACAGGGAGAUACACCAGGGAAACUUGGUCUAAUAUCCCAUAGCAUUCAUUGAAGGCAUCUUUAAUGAAUUAAAGCUUCGGUGGUAUAGGAUUGGCUCGCGUGACAUUAGCCAGAUGGUGAGGUAACGGCUCACCAUAGCAAUGAUGUCUAGGGGUUUUGAGAGGAAGGCCCCCCACACUGGGACUGAGACACGGCCCAGACUCCUACGGGAGGCAGCAGUGAGGAAUAUUGGACAAUGGAUGGAAAUCUGAUCCAGCCAUGCCGCGUGCAGGAAGACGGCCUUAUGGGUUGUAAACUGCUUUUAUACGGGAGCAAUAAGGGUUACGAGUAAUCCGAUGAGAGUACUGUAUGAAUAAGGAUCGGCUAACUCCGUGCCAGCAGCCGCGGUAAUACGGAGGAUCCGAGCGUUAUCCGGAAUUAUUGGGUUUAAAGGGUGCGU
This 568-nucleotide ribosomal RNA is filed under the name uncultured bacterium. Its description in RNAcentral is "bacterial SSU rRNA". It matches the Rfam family "Bacterial small subunit ribosomal RNA", at positions 9 to 572 of the family's 1533-position model. The record is from RNAcentral.